UUCCCAGUGUGGAUGGACCUCACCGGGCUGAGAUCCCAGAGUGUACAGCAGUAAAAGGUUUACGACCCAAUGCCAUUUUAAGAGAAGAAAGAAGAAAAAAGGUAAUGAUAGCUGAAGAUUUACUAGUGACAGUCAUUUUCAAACCAUUUUAGCAUGUCUUCCCCUUCUCUCCUUCCCAUCCUGCUGCAAUAAAAUGUUCCACAGGAGCUGUCCAAAAUGGCGGCUCCUGUCAAAAUGGUGGCACCAUAGCAUCUCCUCAGCCUGCUGCCUUCACAGGAGCUAUCUAAGAUGGCCCACCACCUCCUUUCCUGCCUCCGAUGUAGCUGGCCCUCAAGAGCUGUCCUCAGUGGUGACCUUUCCUGCUUCAGCCUACUACCAACAUGAGAUAUCCGUGGUGUAUAUGUCCUACAGUGUUGAACAAAACACAAGAAGAAGAUAUUUGGGGCCAUGAAUAACUCAAGGACCCAGCCAGAUCUCAACAGUGGCACCUGCCCAACCUGCCAUUGUGCAAGUUUCUGCCACAUACUUUGAGAAGACACCUUCAAAGCUUAACAGGAGACCCUUUCAUCCUUGUAUGUAUAAUAAGAAAAUAUAUUAUGGUAUAGUGCUUCAUCUCUGAUUUGGGGUUUCACUGUGGAUGCUAACUCAAUAAUCAUGAAUUUAAAAUGCUGUCACAGAGAGUCCUGGCUGAAGGGAGGGUCACAGAGAGUCCUGGCUGAAGUUGGAGUUACAGAGAAUCCUGGCUGAAGGGACAAAGCUCAGAGAAUACAUUUAACAUCCCCUAGGUACCCAAUAUAUCCAUGAAUUUGUAUGUGACACAAAAACCUAGACAGGGAUAGGCACAUAUUUUCUUUCUUGCCUCUUCAACAACAACCCUAAAGUAAUUGGACCAAAGUGUGACCUUGCUUUGAUUGCUUUCUCAUUUGGGGUUCAUAUCUGAGCUCUCAAGCUUUCUAAUUUACGUAAUUGGAAUGAACUUAUGGGGCAAGUAUUUUAUGAAAGUACUCUGCGUAAGAUCUUAAAUUAUUGGAAAUAAUUUACCUCAUGAAAGAUAAUAUUUCUAGUAAUGUACAAAACCUAGAAAAAUUCUAAAAA
Molecule: long non-coding RNA, 1095 nt
Filed under: Mus musculus (house mouse)
Lineage: Eukaryota; Metazoa; Chordata; Mammalia; Rodentia; Muridae
Description: predicted gene, 26861
Source: RNAcentral